UACGAAGGGGGCUAGCGUUGCUCGGAAUUACUGGGCGUAAAGCGCACGUAGGCGGCUUCUUAAGUCGGUGGUGAAAUCCUGGAGCUCAACUCCAGAACUGCCUUCGAUACUGGGAAGCUCGAGUCCGGGAGAGGUGAGUGGAACUGCGAGUGUAGAGGUGAAAUUCGUAGAUAUUCGCAAGAACACCCGUGGCGAAAGCGGCUCUCUGGAACGGUACUGACGCUGAGACGCGAAAGCGUGGGGAGCGAACAGG
Molecule: ribosomal RNA, 253 nt
Filed under: uncultured bacterium
Lineage: Bacteria
Description: partial 16S ribosomal RNA
Rfam family: Bacterial small subunit ribosomal RNA
Source: RNAcentral